UUAACUUAUUAAAUGUUACUCAGACAAUAAAUGAUUCAGAGUGUUGGUUCUCUGGCAGGCACUAACUAGCCAAGGCCAGUAGCACAGAGGCAGGCCUGCCAAAGCAACAAAGUAUGUAAACAGAGGGUGGGAGAUCUACCCCAAAGGGCAAGUUCUCAGUAAUGAUCCUUCCGCAGGUUCCAACUUACUGCAAGCAACCAAGCUUGCAUCCGAUCAUAUCUUAACCCAGAGGGCCACCUCUAUUUGAUCUGUGAACUCCAAAGAGCCGCUGGUAGUACAAUACUGUAAAUUCCAGCAAGAUAGAGAUGUUGCCUGCCAAAGCAGACUGAUAGCCGCAGGCAAACCAAUACCUACGGAAA
RNAcentral lists this unclassified non-coding RNA (359 nucleotides) under uncultured fungus. Its description in RNAcentral is "sequence contains ITS1". The record is from RNAcentral. Lineage: Eukaryota; Fungi.